This is a long non-coding RNA of Bradysia coprophila, 562 nucleotides long. The record is from RefSeq and is a predicted model, not a curated record. NCBI's taxonomy places the organism in Eukaryota, Metazoa, Arthropoda, Insecta, Diptera, Sciaridae.
AUCUGUCGUCUGUAUAUUCGACGUCCAGUCUGUCUGAUGAGAUUUUGAGUAGGUUUAAUAUUAAGGUGGUCGAUGAUAGUAUUUUGGGAUUAGUAAGUUCGAUUCCUAGUGAAUUUGUUCCAGGUAGUGAUGAUGAGAGGAAGGUACAGAGGAAUUGGGACUCUCCGUUGGUCAAUAGCAAGUUUAGUGGGAUGUUUGAAUCUGGUGAAUCUGUUGAUCGGAUAACGCCGCGACAUGAUUCUGUAAACAGAGAGUUUUCUCAUGCUUUUUCUGCUGCAGAUUUUCCAACUUUGUUACAGCCACCAGGAAUUUCUAGAGAUGACGGUAAAAGACCUGAUGGUAUGACUCUAAUUCCGUGGAGUCAUGGUAAAUCUCUUUUAUGGGAUGUGACAGUGCGUGAUACGUUGGCUCCUUCAUACAUUGGUGAAACUUCUAAAAAAGCACGCUCAGUUGCAGAGAAAGCGGAGAGAUUAAAGCAUAAUCAUUAUAGAAAACUUAAAGAAAAUUAUUUAUUCACCCCGCUUGCUUUUGAAUCUUUAGGUUGCAUGGGCCCAGAAACAAA